Rhea pennata is the source of this 1607-nucleotide long non-coding RNA. RefSeq lists it as uncharacterized. The record is from RefSeq and is a predicted model, not a curated record. The transcript has 2 exons. NCBI's taxonomy places the organism in Eukaryota, Metazoa, Chordata, Aves, Rheiformes, Rheidae.
CCCCCUCACCCCCGGCGGGCCGCGGCCAUCUUGGCCGCUGGCGGAAGAGCCCCAGGAAGAGCAGCGGGCAGAGGUGUUGCCGUGCCGACCCCCCCCCGGUGAGGGGUCUGUCGUGGCGGCAGGGCCAGCAGCAGAAAUAGCAGACAAACCGAGCGCGGCGGGGCGCAGCCUGCGUUUAGAGGGUCUGGCACUAAAGGCAAGAGAUCUGGCAGCACACGGUCAGAGCUCGGCAUCUUCAGGCAAGUCUGCAAGAGCACUCUGCAUUUAAAGAUCUCAAAAAACUCACAAAAAUCAAAAAUCGAGUUUAUUGGCUUUGCACAAAAGCAAAAAACAGAAAGCUAAUUUUGUCUGUGGUUAUAUCUACUUUCUGCUUUAUAAGACUUAACACGGGAUUUAAAGAGCACUGAAAAUAAUGCAAGCAUCUGAACUGGCUGCGCAGGUGGGUUCAGUGGCAGCCACAGAUUCCCUUAAAAUCUCGGCAGCAGCUUCAGCAGAGAUGAGCAAAGUGAUUAAUGCUCAUGGCUUGGGACGUUAUAACCAAAAUGACUUCCAAAAGGGAAUUGAGCAAAGAAGGUUUUGGCCAUUUCAUUGAUCCUGUUGUAGGCUCCCAGGGUCCGGAAAUACUCCACAUAUGACCAGAAGUCAUUGGCUGAGAAAGGCCAGUAUGGCAUGGCUACAGAUUCCUGGUAGAAAUCUGCAAUGAAAAAUUGCAGAAUCAGAUUAAUAAAACACAAAGCAUUUCUGUUAAAGCUCAGGCCUCGGAGCCAACAUGGUUUAGGGAUCUCAGACUUACUGGGAGGCUAGUGACUUCCUCAGGCCUGUGCUCUUUUACAUGCUUCAGCCCUUAGUGCCCCCUCUCAAAAAAUUGUUCUGAUGGAGCUGUUAUCCUCUGCUCCAGCUGCAACAGGAAUGACAGACACUGCAGAGAGCAGUGACAUGAAUGAGACACUAGACCCUUACAUAUGGCUCUCAGCAACUGGAGCAAUUGAGUAAUUCCUGAGGCUUCCCAAUUUCCAGCAAGGCACCUGACUGUUGAAAAGAAGCAAUUGCAAUUUAAAGUCACUUCCCGCCGACCACCACCAUUCCUCCUCUACUAUAUUUCUUCUGCCACCAAAAAUAGGAGGCAAGAAGAAGAGGUUAUCAUCAAUGCUCUGCAGCUGCCUGCAGGCAGGUCAUCCCUCUGACCGCAGAGGGAGAGCACGGAGCCAGGGAGCUGUUCCCCAUCCGUCUCAAUGCAAAGGCAGCCGGCAAACUGCGGUGCCAGCUGGGGCUGCCCAGGGCUCAGGUCUGCGCUGCCCUGCAUCACCUGGGACUUCAGAUUAUUCUCAGCAGACAGCAAAUGAAGGACAUUGCCACUUUGAAGACUGGCACAUGCGUGCCUAUUCUAGGAAUAUCUGAGGCAAACUGCGAUACUCUGAAAUCAGAUUUCAAAUUCAGUAGGAAAAGGAAAGCAAAACAAUUCCAAAAAACACCAAGAGCUGGGUCCCGAUCCCGCCAAGCACAGAAGCAUAUUCAAAAUGUAAAUAAUGGCUGAAACCAUAGUUAUAAAUGUCUGUUACAAAACUUAUCCCAUUAUUCUGAUUUAAAUUAAAGUCUAUUUAAAUAAA